Molecule: ribosomal RNA, 483 nt
Filed under: uncultured bacterium
Lineage: Bacteria
Description: partial 16S ribosomal RNA
Rfam family: Bacterial small subunit ribosomal RNA
Source: RNAcentral
CUUUCCCUCUGGCGGCAGGCCUAACACAUGCAAGUCGAGCGGAUGAAGGGAGCUUGCUCCUGGAUUCAGCGGCGGACGGGUGAGUAAUGCCUAGGAAUCUGCCUGGUAGUGGGGGAUAACGUCCGGAAACGGGCGCUAAUACCGCAUACGUCCUGAGGGAGAAAGUGGGGGAUCUUCGGACCUCACGCUAUCAGAUGAGCCUAGGUCGGAUUAGCUAGUUGGUGGGGUAAAGGCCUACCAAGGCGACGAUCCGUAACUGGUCUGAGAGGAUGAUCAGUCACACUGGAACUGAGACACGGUCCAGACUCCUACGGGAGGCAGCAGUGGGGAAUAUUGGACAAUGGGCGAAAGCCUGAUCCAGCCAUGCCGCGUGUGUGAAGAAGGUCUUCGGAUUGUAAAGCACUUUAAGUUGGGAGGAAGGGCAGUAAGUUAAUACCUUGCUGUUUGGACGUGACCAACAGAAUAAGCACCGGCUAACUUCGU